This is a non-coding RNA of Theobroma cacao (cacao), 543 nucleotides long. The record is from RefSeq and is a predicted model, not a curated record. NCBI's taxonomy places the organism in Eukaryota, Viridiplantae, Streptophyta, Magnoliopsida, Malvales, Malvaceae.
UUAGUUAGUUAGAAAAACCAAAGUAUGAAUACACCUGCUGUAUUCAUUUUCCUCUUAAUGAAGAUAUUAGAGAAUUUUCAAAAUGGCUCAUCUUCUCUCAAAUCUUCCCCAAUAUCUCAUAAUGUGUCAGAGCAGAAACUAGGAUUCUUGGACCUCACCUUUUGGAGAGUGCUGGGGUUGCUAAGGUAUCUUCUGGGCUAUAUUUCAUGCAAGAUAAACAAGAUUAUCAAUAUCUGUCCAAAUUUAGCAUUAACAAAAUUAUAAAUUUUCUUUUUACAGUUUUUGCUAAUGGUUGUAAAAUAGUUCAAAAUCAGUUUGAGUUGUGGCAUUUUAAGCUUAGACAGGUACCUUUAAGUAGAAUAAGUGUAUUACAUCAACAAUAUCCUGAAAUUCAUUGUUCAAAUGAUUUGAUAUGUGAUGUAUGUUUUUUGACAAAACAGAAAAAAUUACCUUUUCUUGUUCAUGUCAAAACACAAGUUCUACUUUUGACAUUUUACAUUCUGAUAUCUAAGGGCCAUAUAGAAUUCCAACUUUUGAUGGUCA